UGGGGAAUAUUGCACAAUGGGGGAAACCCUGAUGCAGCGACGCCGCGUGAGCGAAGAAGGCCUUCGGGUCGUAAAGCUCUUUUAUAUGGGAAGAUAAUGACGGUACCAUAAGAAAAAGCCCCGGCUAAGUACGUGCCAGCAGCCGCGGUAAUACGUAGGGGGCUAGCGUUGUCCGGAAUCACUGGGCGUAAAGGGUUCGCAGGCGGCAAUGCAAGUCAGAUGUAAAAGGCAAAGGCUCAACCUUUGUAAGCAUCUGAAACUGUAUAGCUUGAGAAGUGUAGAGGCAAGUGGAAUUUUUAGUGUAGCGGUGAAAUGCGUAGAUAUUAAAAAGAAUACCGGUGGCGAAGGCGACUUGCUGGGCACAAUCUGACGCUGAGGAACGAAAGCGUGGGGAGCAAACAGG
This 403-nucleotide ribosomal RNA is filed under the name Verrucomicrobiota bacterium. RNAcentral describes it as "Verrucomicrobia bacterium partial 16S ribosomal RNA". It matches the Rfam family "Bacterial small subunit ribosomal RNA", at positions 355 to 776 of the family's 1533-position model. The record is from RNAcentral. Lineage: Bacteria; Pseudomonadati; Verrucomicrobiota.